Molecule: long non-coding RNA, 1047 nt
Organism: Oreochromis aureus
Lineage: Eukaryota; Metazoa; Chordata; Actinopteri; Cichliformes; Cichlidae
Source: Ensembl
CGGAGUUAAACUGUGGCAGGUAAGCAUGUGGAGGAGGAGCAACAACAUGACGCUGGAACAUCAUCAUUGCAUUAUACAGUUUCCUCUCUCUGGAUGCUGCUGUGAACAAGAACAGCUGUGGAACCAGGGUCCUGAGUGUCAUCUAUGGAUGAAUGCAGAAAAUCUUAUGUGCUGCGUUCACUGACUCCAUCCUCUCUGACUGUUACUGACGCAGUUUACUGCUGAGGAAAAGCGGAGGGGACGUAACAAAAGCAGAGUGAAACGGAGCGCUGUGAUUGGUCAGAAUGUUUGUGGCUGUGGGAUUGUGGACCCUCUGUCCCACAAGCCCCUCCCUGGUUUUUCCUUCCCGAAGUUUUUCUCUCCUGAACUUUGACGCUGAUCGUCUCCGUGUGAAGCUCCGUGUUAAGGUAGAAAGUGUGUGUGAGCUGAAUUGAGCAGCAUGGAUCAGUGUGAGGACAGAGAGGAGGGAGUCCCUCCCUCUAAAACCACUCUGUGUGGGGAACAUGAGAGCCAGACCAAAGCUCAGAGGAACCAGCCUGGACCUCCACCCAGCUCUGUGUCCUUAAGGAGUGACCGGUCUAAUGAUCGCUGGAUUAAUUUUAAAGUCCAGCCUGUGUCUGCUGCAGAGAGGGCUGUUUGAUGACGAUUUGGACUCCUCUGGGAGAUGAGGACACACCCACAUCUGUUCCAUACUGCAGCCAUGGAUGGUGUUACAGCUCUGAGUCAGCUUUGGGCCAUCAGAUGCACACACUGGAAAACCAGCGCCUGUACUUCAUGCAGGAGAGAUGACCUCAGUGAUGAUGGACUCUGCAUCCUCUACUUUACCUCCUAAUCUCUUUCUCUUUAACACACAAUUAAAAUCACUCCAAAAGAGUGUAAACUUACUGAGGAAGUCUCUAACUUGUACACAUUUGUACUUUUACUUGUUUUAUGAGUUAUUUUUAAGAAGAGUAAAGUUAUUCACAUAAAGUUUUUAUUCUUCUGUAUUUAUUCUUUUGUAUCAUGUACCACAGUCAUACUGAACUUUACAGACCUGGUGAAUUGGGG